AGAGUUUGAUCCUGGCUCAGGAUGAACGCUAGCGACAGGCUUAACACAUGCAAGUCGAGGGGCAGCGGGGGCGAAGCUUGCUUCGCCUGCCGGCGACCGGCGCACGGGUGAGUAACACGUAUGCGACCUGCCCCCCGCAGGGGGAUAACCGGGAGAAAUCCCGACUAAUACCGCGUAACGCCGCUGGGCUGCAUGGCCCGGCGGCCAAAGGAAGCGAUUCCGGCGGGGGAUGGGCAUGCGGCGCAUUAGCUAGUCGGCGGGGUAACGGCCCACCGAGGCGACGAUGCGUAGGGGUUCUGAGAGGAAGGUCCCCCACACUGGUACUGAGACACGGACCAGACUCCUACGGGAGGCAGCAGUGAGGAAUAUUGGUCAAUGGGCGGGAGCCUGAACCAGCCAAGUCGCGUGAGGGAAGACGGUCCUACGGAUUGUAAACCUCUUUUGCCGGGGAGCAACGGGGUCCUUGCGAGGGCCCGAUGAGAGUACCCGGAGAAAAAGCAUCGGCUAACUCCGUGCCAGCAGCCGCGGUAAUACGGAGGAUGCGAGCGUUAUCCGGAUUUAUUGGGUUUAAAGGGUGCGUAGGCGGGCUGUUAAGUCAGCGGUCAAAUGUCGGGGCUCAACCCCGGCCUGCCGUUGAAACUGGCGGCCUCGAGUGGGCGAGAAGUAUGCGGAAUGCGUGGUGUAGCGGUGAAAUGCAUAGAUAUCACGCAGAACUCCGAUUGCGAAGGCAGCAUACCGGCGCCCGACUGACGCUGAGGCACGAAAGCGUGGGUAUUUAAAAGGGUUAGAUACCCUGGUAGUCCACGCAGUAA
Molecule: ribosomal RNA, 812 nt
Filed under: uncultured bacterium
Lineage: Bacteria
Description: bacterial SSU rRNA
Rfam family: Bacterial small subunit ribosomal RNA
Source: RNAcentral